GUAACCUUUUAUCUGAGCCUGAACACUUCACUCUUAUCCAGCCCUAAGAAGCUGAAUCUGCCUGUAGCUGUACAGACAUCACCCAGGGUUGCUGAAUAGCUGACCACACUCUCAAGUAAAAGGAGAGCCAAAGCUGGUGUAAAAUAAGUACAGCAGACGUGUGUGUUCAUCUGACCUGCAGUCUGUUCAUAAGAAGAUCCUUGAAGACCUCUGUGCAGUGAAGCUAAAUCACACAAGAGCUCUUUCUGCUCCUCAACUUUGUGUCGAGAUUUCAUCAAGAUGGCAGCAGACUUACUUGAGGACCCUUUAGAGGACAUGGCCAAGUGUUUGUUAUCGUUUAAGAACACGUUUCAGUGGUUUGACAACAUUAAAAAGGAGAUAGAAGAGAGGUGUGGCAUUAAAACAGAGCAUUGCUGGAAAGAUGAUGACAUUAGACAAGCUUGGAUAGAAACACAGAAAAUGGCAAAAGGUUACAAAAGAAACCAAUGGGCGUAUGUGAUAACAUUCCUGGAGAUGAAAAUGUUUGAUGAUGAUGAAAAUGAGACAACUGAAGUAGAGUCUGAUGUAACUGAGCAUGCACAGAAAGAGCAGCCAUGUGGCAGUGCGUCAAAACGGAUUCAAUUGAUAGACCAACACAAAGAGCAUCUCAAUGCAUUACUGAACGCACAUAUAAACUAGUGGGGGAUAUGUAUAAAAGUGAAAAAGCAAACGGUGGUUACAUUCAUUUUGGCUAAACAAUAGUUUUUGAUAGGACAGGCACCUCUGAACAAACUAAAACAUAUAUUCAACAUAUAUAGCUAUAAAUGUAAGUAUCUUCUAUGAUGCACUGGUCUUCUGUGAUUUACUGGUAGUACCAAGUUAGUUAUAUAUGUAUAUAUUAAAUAACCAAAAAUAGCCAUGGGGGAAUAUUCUCCAUAUUUGCAUAAUAUUGUUAUUAUUUUAAAAAAUAACUAACCUAACAUUCUGGAAAGUUUUUAGAGUUGCAAAAAAUAACCUGAAACAAUGUUCACUUUGGUUAUUUAAAAAAAAUAAUCAUAUAAAAAUGGAGAGAACAUAAUUUCUAAGCAUAAUAGUGUUAAUAACUCAUCUCUAAUAACCGAUUUAUUUUCUCUUAAUGAUGACAGUAAAUGAUAUUAGACUAGAUAUUCUUCAAGACACUUCUAUACAGCUUAAAGUGACAUUUAAAGGCUUAACCAGGUUAAUUAGGGUAACUAGGCAGGUUAGGGUAAUCAGGCAAGUUAUUGUAUGAUGAUGGUUUGUUCUGUAGACUAUCGGAAAAAUAGUGCUUAAAGGGGCUGAUCAUUUUUUCCUUAAAAUGGUGUUUGAAAAAUUCAAAACUGCUUUUAUUCUAGCCUAAAUAAAUCAAAUAAGACUUUCUUCAGAAGAAAAAAAUAUCAGACACAGUGUGGAAAAAUCCCAUGCUCUGUUAAACAUCUUUUGGGAAAUAUUUAAAAAGAAAAAAAAAAUCAAAUGGGCGCGAAUAAUUCUGACUUCAACUGUGUGUGCGUAUGUGUAUAUAUAAUUAUUAUAUAUUUUCUGUAAUUUGUAAUUUUAAAAAUAAUGUAUUUUAUACCAAAAUGAAGAGUGCCCGUCUGAGGGCUCCCAGGUAUCAAAAUUUUGCGAGCCCUAAAACCUCAUGAUUUGAUUUGAUUCCUCAUAAGUAACAAAUAAAAAUACAUGUUUCUCUGUUACAAAGAAUCAAAUCAACGACAUUUCGAGAUUAGCGAUCAUGCCAUGGCAUAUGAAAUGUGUUUAUCUAUCAUAAGAUGCCUGAUUUAUUGAAUAUAUUCUCAGACAAAAUUAAAAUACUGUUCUCUGACUUUCUAUUAUUGUCCUGUUCAUCAUUGUAAAUCAGCUAUGACCAUCUACACUGUAAAAAAGUGCUGUAGAAAUAAAGAUGACUUGACUA
This is a long non-coding RNA of Danio rerio (zebrafish), 1909 nucleotides long. Lineage: Eukaryota; Metazoa; Chordata; Actinopteri; Cypriniformes; Danionidae. The record is from Ensembl.